This 480-nucleotide ribosomal RNA is filed under the name uncultured bacterium. RNAcentral describes it as "partial 16S ribosomal RNA". It matches the Rfam family "Bacterial small subunit ribosomal RNA", at positions 28 to 506 of the family's 1533-position model. The record is from RNAcentral.
GAUGAACGCUGGCGGCGUGCUUAACACAUGCAAGUCGAACGAAGCACUUUAUUUGAUUUCCUUCGGGACUGAUUAUUUUGUGACUGAGUGGCGGACGGGUGAGUAACGCGUGGGUAACCUGCCUUGUACAGGGGGAUAACAGUUGGAAACGGCUGCUAAUACCGCAUAAGCGCACAGCAUCGCAUGAUGCAGUGUGAAAAACUCCGGUGGUAUAAGAUGGACCCGCGUUGGAUUAGCUAGUUGGUGAGGUAACGGCCCACCAAGGCGACGAUCCAUAGCCGACCUGAAGGGGGGACCGCCAAAGUUGGGACUGGGACAAGGCCCAAAACCCUACGGGGGGCAGCAGUGGGGAAUAUUGCACAAUGGGGGAAAGCCUGAUGCAGGGACGCCGGGUGAGAGAAGAAGUAUUUCGGUAUGUAAAGCUCUAUCAGAAGGGAAGAUAAUGACGGUACCUGACUAAGAAGCACCGGCUAAAUACGU